UACGAAGGGGGCUAGCGUUGUUCGGAUUUACUGGGCGUAAAGCGCACGUAGGCGGAUUGGUCAGUUAGGGGUGAAAUCCCAGAGCUCAACUCUGGAACUGCCUUUAAUACUGCCAGUCUAGAGUCCGGAAGAGGUGAGUGGAACUCCUAGUGUAGAGGUGGAAUUCGUAGAUAUUAGGAAGAACACCAGUGGCGAAGGCGGCUCACUGGUCCGGUACUGACGCUGAGGUGCGAAAGCGUGGGGAGCAAAC
RNAcentral lists this ribosomal RNA (250 nucleotides) under uncultured Devosia sp. RNAcentral's name for it is "partial 16S ribosomal RNA". It matches the Rfam family "Bacterial small subunit ribosomal RNA", at positions 524 to 773 of the family's 1533-position model. The record is from RNAcentral. Lineage: Bacteria; Pseudomonadati; Pseudomonadota; Alphaproteobacteria; Hyphomicrobiales; Devosiaceae.